GAUCCUGGCUCAGGAUGAACGCUGGCGGCGUGCCUAACACAUGCAAGUCGAGCGAAGCGUUUUAAAGGAAGUUUUCGGAUGGAAUUUGAAAUGACUGAGCGGCGGACGGGUGAGUAACGCGUGGGUAACCUGCCUCAUACAGGGGGAUAACAGUUAGAGAUGACUGCUAAUACCGCAUAAGCACACAGUACCGCAUGGUACAGAGUGAAAAACUCCGGUGGUAUGAGAUGGACCCGGCGU
Molecule: ribosomal RNA, 240 nt
Filed under: uncultured bacterium
Lineage: Bacteria
Description: partial 16S ribosomal RNA
Rfam family: Bacterial small subunit ribosomal RNA
Source: RNAcentral